This 469-nucleotide ribosomal RNA is filed under the name uncultured bacterium. Its description in RNAcentral is "partial 16S ribosomal RNA". It matches the Rfam family "Bacterial small subunit ribosomal RNA", at positions 28 to 507 of the family's 1533-position model. The record is from RNAcentral.
GACGAACGCUGGCGGCGUGCUUAACACAUGCAAGUCGAACGGAAAGGCCCUGCUUGCAGGGUGCUCGAGUGGCGAACGGGUGAGUAACACGUGGGUGAUCUGCCCCUUACUUUGGGAUAAGCCUGGGAAACUGGGUCUAAUACUGGAUAGGACCAUGCUGUAGGUGGUGUGGUGGAAAGAUUAGUUUCGGUAAGGGAUGAGCUCGCGGCCUAUCAGCUUGUUGGUGGGGUAAUGGCCUACCAAGGCGUCGACGGGUAGCCGGCCUGAGAGGGUGGACGGCCACAUUGGGACUGAGAUACGGCCCAGACUCCUACGGGAGGCAGCAGUGGGGAAUAUUGCACAAUGGGCGCAAGCCUGAUGCAGCGACGCCGCGUGGGGGAUGACGGCCUUCGGGUUGUAAACUCCUUUCAGCCAUGACGAAGCCCUUGAGGUGACGGUAGUGGUAGAAGAAGCACCGGCUAACUACGUG